RNAcentral lists this small nucleolar RNA (107 nucleotides) under Olea europaea subsp. europaea. RNAcentral's name for it is "Plant small nucleolar RNA R71". It matches the Rfam family "Plant small nucleolar RNA R71". Rfam says of the family: R71 is a member of the C/D box family of snoRNAs containing the C (UGAUGA) and D (CUGA) box motifs. Multiple nearly identical copies of this snoRNA have been identified in Arabidopsis, and it is thought to function as a 2'-O-ribose methylation guide for 18S ribosomal RNA. Lineage: Eukaryota; Viridiplantae; Streptophyta; Magnoliopsida; Lamiales; Oleaceae. The record is from Rfam by way of RNAcentral.
AAUCCAUGUUGUCGGCAUUGAUGCAGUAAACCUUUGUAUCGUUCACAAGCCUCUAAAUAGCAUUCUAAGUCCAAUUGUUGAAAGGUAGUGAUCUCGUCUCUUAGCUU